ACGGGAGUAGACAACAGGGAUUGCCCCAGUAACGGCGAGUGAAGCGGCAACAGCUCAAAUUUGAAAUCUGGCCCCCAGGGUCCGAGUUGUAAUUUGUAGAGGAUGCUUUUGGCGAGGUGCCUUCCGAGUUCCCUGGAACGGGACGCCACAGAGGGUGAGAGCCCCGUCUGGUCGGCCACCGAGCCUCUGUAAAGCUCCUUCGACGAGUCGAGUAGUUUGGGAAUGCUGCUCAAAAUGGGAGGUAUAUGUCUUCUAAAGCUAAAUACUGGCCAGAGACCGAUAGCGCACAAGUAGAGUGAUCGAAAGAUGAAAAGCACUUUGAAAAGAGGGUUAAAAAGUACGUGAAAUUGUUGAAAGGGAAGCGCCUAUGACCAGACUUGGGCCCGGUGAAUCAUCCAGCGUUCUCGCUGGUGCACUUCGCCGGGCACAGGCCAGCAUCAGUUUGGCGCGGGGGACAAAGGCUCUGGGAAUGUGGCUCCCCCGGGAGUGUUAUAGCCCACCGCGUAAUACCCUGCGCCGGACUGAGGUACGCGCAUUCGCAAGGAUGCUGGCGUAAUGGUCAUCAGCGACCCGUCUUGAAACACGGACCAAGGAGUCGUCUUCGUAUGCGAGUGUUCGGGUGUCAAACCCCUACGCGUAAUGAAAGUGAACGUAGGUGAGAGCUUCGGCGCAUCACCGACCGAUCCUGAUGUUCUCGGAUGGAUUUGAGUAAGAGCAUACGGGGCCGGACCCGAAAGAAGGUGAACUAUGCCUGUAUAGGGUGAAGCCAGAGGAAACUCUGGUGGAGGCUCGCAGCGGUUCUGACGUGCGAAUCGAUCGUCAAAUAUGGGCAUGGGGGCGAAAGACUAAUCGAACCUUCUAGUAGCUGGUUUCCGCCGAGU
RNAcentral lists this ribosomal RNA (881 nucleotides) under Akanthomyces sp. Its description in RNAcentral is "partial large subunit ribosomal RNA". It matches the Rfam family "Eukaryotic large subunit ribosomal RNA", at positions 52 to 966 of the family's 3401-position model. Lineage: Eukaryota; Fungi; Ascomycota; Sordariomycetes; Hypocreales; Cordycipitaceae. The record is from RNAcentral.